UGGCAAUUCUCUGAGGUUGUUGCAGCGUUCAACUUCCAACACUUUUAAACUAUUGGUAGAUCCUCGAAUAAGCCAUUUUGGAAAGUCCACAAUUUUUGGCAACGAUCUUAACUGUAAUCUUUGGAAAGUCCACAAUUUUUGGCAACGAUCUUACACUUUUAACUGUAAUCUUUGGAGGCUGAAGUCCGCAUACUCCGUGUGUAUGGACUUGCUAGGAAAAUCUUUUAAUGUGGGGGAUGAGUUGUGAACUAGUUUGUGGAAUGUUUCGGUCCCUCAAAAAGUGAAGGAUUUCUGCUGGAGAGCUUGUAGAAAUAUAUUGUCUACAAAGGAUAACUUAAGGCAAAAGGGUGUGGAUGUGGAUACUAGAUGUCCUUGGUGCCAUGAAGAUGAAAGUAUCAAUUAUAUUUUGUUGCAUUGUCUUGUGUCCAAGGAAGUUUGGAGGUUAGGGGGGAGUGGAGGAUUUGCAGCCUAAUGAUAAUUUUUUAAUUUUUUAUGGCAGAUUUUGAAGUCUUUUGUAAUGGUUUGUGCAUGGAGAUUAUGGCCAGUAAGGAACUCAUUAUUAUGGAACUAGGUGCAAAAUUCAGCAGCUCACCUUGUGGAAGACGUCAUGCAUCAUAUCUUGGAUUGGGAAACUGCUCAACGUGCUGGUGCUUUGCAUGGAAAUACCACUGUUACUUUAUAUUAGGGCAGGAACUUGUUUUAUUCCUCUAACCCUACUCGGGAUCCUGAAGCCGUUCCUCUCCAAAUUCGUGCGUCAUCUUCAAGUUUGGACAAUUUCAGUUGGUUUUGUCAAAUUGAUGGGGUUUUGUUUCAAGGUCAAGAUUUUAUUGGCUACGGUUUUGUUGUGAAAAACUCUGAGGGUAUAUUUCAACGUGGAAUUUCUGGUUUCUCAGAAGGUAAUGGUACACCGGUAAUUGUUGAAGUUUUAGCUAUCCGUCACUGUUUGCUUUUUGCGACGGAAUUUUUGUCUUUAAAUGGCUGCAUUCUUAUGAACUGUCUUCAGGUGGUUCAAACUCUUUGGUCUCCAUAUUUAGACUUUUCUGAACUAGUUUUGAUUUUGAAUGAUUGUAAAUCUUUGUUAGACUCUAGAACUGAUAUUUCUGUUAAAUGGGUUCAUCGACAUGCCACUCUAACUACUCAAACUUUGGCUAGAAAAUCUAUUAGGUAUAAUCGUCACUCUAUCAGAGAUAAUAUCCCUCUUUAUUUGAUGAAAUUUUAUUAAUACAAUCAAUAGUUUUGCUUUUUAAAAAAAAAUAAUAAACAUUAGAAAUUCUUUUUAAAAAUAAAUUAAAUAUUAAUGACAGAAUUUUGAGUGGAUAAAAUAAAUUAAUAAUUGAAAAUAAAAAACUGAAAUACAUAAUUUUUAAAAUUUCCUGUAAAAAAAAAGGAAAUAAAUAAGAAAGGGCAAUCACAGCACAUUUUAAUAAUUAAAUUCAGAAACAAAAAGAAAGAAAGAAAACCAGGUUUCAGGCGCUUUCCCUCUUCUUCUCGGUGUCUCUCUCUCUCUUUGUUGCUCUCAUUCUCUCCCCUGCCCCACACGGCCUCUCUCACUCUGUCUCUUCUCAUUUGUCGCUUCUGGUACUCGCAAUGGUGGUUUGUGUUGACAUGUUUAUUUAUUUGAUUUUCUAUGGGUUUGGGAUUGUUAAUAUGGUGUGUUUUUCUUUGGGUUUUUCAGGUUAGUGUUUAAUUCUCAUCAUCCCUCACAAUGGCAUAACUGCAGGUUAGUGGGUGUUCAGAAUUUAUAUUCUAUUAACUGUUGAUUAAUUGUUUUCAGGGUUAGAUUAUGGGAGCCUUAAUUGGUACGAGUGUUUGAGAAUACAUGAAUUGAUAUGAGCCUGAAUUAAAAAAAAUUAACAGCUUAAAUGGGUAAUUGAAAAUUACCCUUUUGCAUCAAAAUAUACCAAUUGGGUGUCAUUUAAAAAUCCAUUUUUGCUGCAAUCUAUAUUGUUAUACUGUUAUGAUUCUGAUAACAUAUGUAUGCAACUUUUUAUGUAAAGGAUUAUUGUUUAGCUCCGGACAAUCUAUGAUUCGAACCUCUGGAUGUGACGCUUUUUAUGUACGAGUGUUUAAUUUUCUUUCAUUUAAAUAAAAGUAAAGAAAAAUAUAUAUAAAGGAAAAAUUUUAAAAUACAAUAACGUAAUAACCAAUUAAAUAUUAACUGUCACCUGAUUUAUGUAAAGGAUUAUUGUUUAGCUCCGGACAAUCUAUGAUUCGAACCUCUGGAUGUGACGCCAUGUUCUGUAGGCAAAUUGCCAAUUCUCCGAGGCUGUUGCAUUGUUCAACUUCCAACACUUCUAAACUAUUGGUAGAUCCUUGAAUAAGCCAUUCUGGAAAGUCCAAAAUUUUUGGCAACCAUCUUAACUCUAAUCUUUGGAGGCUGAAUUGCGUUUCUUCUCCUUCCUCCAUUCUCAAAUCCAGGUUUUCACAACCAUCAAUACAAAGAGUUUCUUCUCCUUCCUCCAUUCUCAAAUCCAGCUUUUCACAACCAUCAAUACAAAGAGUAUCUAAUGUUGUUAGGCAUUUUAUACUUUGUGGCAAAGAGAUCAAUCUUCUACAAUCAACAUAAGAGC
This 2570-nucleotide long non-coding RNA is filed under the name Manihot esculenta (cassava). RNAcentral describes it as "long non-coding RNA (MESC_LNC005186)". The record is from RNAcentral. Lineage: Eukaryota; Viridiplantae; Streptophyta; Magnoliopsida; Malpighiales; Euphorbiaceae.